GCAUUGCGAACGCACUACGUAUACUAAACCUGAACGAUACAGAGGAGACUAACUUGGCCCCUGUGCAGGGAUGAAACGCAAGUUGGUGAAAAUUCCACAGUUUUU
This is a small nuclear RNA of Haliotis rubra (blacklip abalone), 105 nucleotides long. Lineage: Eukaryota; Metazoa; Mollusca; Gastropoda; Lepetellida; Haliotidae. The record is from RefSeq and is a predicted model, not a curated record.